This 498-nucleotide ribosomal RNA is filed under the name uncultured bacterium. Its description in RNAcentral is "partial 16S ribosomal RNA". It matches the Rfam family "Bacterial small subunit ribosomal RNA", at positions 29 to 523 of the family's 1533-position model. The record is from RNAcentral.
AUUGAACGCUGGCGGCAUGCUUUACACAUGCAAGUCGAACGGUAACAGGCCGCAAGGUGCUGACGAGUGGCGAACGGGUGAGUAACGCAUCGGAACGUGCCCAGUCGUGGGGGAUAACGCAGCGAAAGCUGUGCUAAUACCGCAUACGAUCUGUGGAUGAAAGCGGGGGACCGUAAGGCCUCGCGCGAUUGGAGCGGCCGAUGUCAGAUUAGGUAGUUGGUGGGGUAAAGGCUCACCAAGCCGACGAUCUGUAGCUGGUCUGAGAGGACGACCAGCCACACCGGCACUGAGACAGGGCCCAGACGCCUACGGAGGGAAGCAGUGGGGAAUUUUGGACAAUGGGGGCAAGCCUGAUCCAGCAAUGCCGCGUGCAGGAAGAAGGCCUUCGGGUUGUAAACUGCUGUUGUACGGAGCGAAAAGGCUCCCUCUAAUACAGGGGGCUCAUGACGGUACCGUAAGAAUAAGCACCGGCUAACUACGUGCCAGCAGCCGCCGUAA